Molecule: ribosomal RNA, 485 nt
Filed under: uncultured bacterium
Lineage: Bacteria
Description: bacterial SSU rRNA
Rfam family: Bacterial small subunit ribosomal RNA
Source: RNAcentral
AUUGAACGCUGGCGGCAUGCUUUACACAUGCAAGUCGAACGGCAGCGCGGGGGCAACCCUGGCGGCGAGUGGCGAACGGGUGAGUAAUGUAUCGGAACGUAUCCUGUAAUGGGGGAUAACCAGUCGAAAGAUUGGGUAAUACCGCAUACGCACGAGAGUGGAAAGUAGGGGAUCGCAAGACCUUACGUUAUAGGAGCGGCCGAUAUCUGAUUAGCUAGUUGGUGGGGUAAAGGCCUACCAAGGCGACGAUCAGUAGCUGGUCUGAGAGGACGACCAGCCACACUGGGACUGAGACACGGCCCAGACUCCUACGGGAGGCAGCAGUGGGGAAUUUUGGACAAUGGGCGAAAGCCUGAUCCAGCCAUGCCGCGUGCAGGAAGAAGGCCUUCGGGUUGUAAACUGCUUUAGUCUAGGAAAAAGGGGUGCGAGGUUAAUACCCUCGUGUUUUGAUGGUACUGGAAGAAUAAGCACCGGCUAACUACGUG